UUACCUAACACCAAAACCAGACGCAUUAAACAUAUAUAUAUAAUCGAACUUGAGCAUAAUGGUUAAGCCAUUUUCGCAUGGCUUUUAAUACAUAUCCAAAAUCAACAUUUCAAAACAAUUCCAGCUUAUACAUGCCAUAAUAGGAGUUUAAAUAUCUAAAUACCGAAGCUGUAGAUAGUGUGAUGAGCUUGGCUGACAACUCCCGAGCUUGUAGCUUGACUUCAAAAUCUAUAAAACAAAGUAGAUAUAACACAAGGAGUAAGCUCUCAAGGCUUAGUAAGUCAUAAGCAAAUCCACAUCUCAAUGAUUUAUUCGAUUUAACUAAUUUAAACUAGAAUUAUUACAUCAAUUUACAUUCAAUUAUAGGCACGAAUACAUCCAUGUUUCUUAUAUAUAUAAUCAUAUGCAUUUAUAUACAAUUAUAUUAUCACUUGAUUCGAACGCUUGUAUGAUCAAAAUUUACAAUUCACUAUUUAACUUUUGAGGCCGAAUAACCACUAAAUUUUUAGUUCACAUACUCAUACAUACCUAAACUUAUAGAUUAUAAAAUAAUCUUAAGUACUUAUAUUAGUCACAUAACCGAACACACAUAAAUACACAUAUGCAAAAUUUACACUUAUUCAAUAAUGUGCUAUAGGCCGAAUACUCUUACCUUAUUUUUGUCAAUUAGAGAACUAACACAUACCUGGCCAUUUAGCUCGUAUCAUACACUCCGUACAUGAUUAUCUUUUCCCGAUGAACCAUUCAAAAUCUGAUAGGACACUCGGAUUAUCACAUAUAUUGUACAAUGCCAACGUCCCAGAUGUGGUCUUACAUGUAGCCACAUAUCGAUGCCACUGUCCAAGACAGGGUCUUACCGUAAACACAUAUCGAAAGAACAAAUCAAUGUCAUGGACUUACUCGCACACACAUAUCGGAACCUUAUGUCAUGACAUAUGUAUCCUAGCUCUUCCUAAGGUUCAAACGGGGUUUUCGGACGUCGUAACUCGGUCGAAUUGAAUUUAGAAACGAAAUAACCAAGCCUUUCCAUAUUCAGCUAUAUCAAAUAUAAACUUCAACAUUUCAUAACAGCGUGUAUAUUUAAUAUUUAACUACAAUUAAACACAUCUAUUUGCUUAUAAACUUACCUCGGACGUCGUAAAACUAGACGGGGCUGCUAGUCGACAACUUUCGUUUUUCCUGGGUCCAAAUCCGAUUUCUUUGGUUCUUGAUCUAAACAUGUUCAAAUUAAGCUCAUUCAAACAUAUUUUAAUUCAAUUUAGUACAAAAACACAUAAAUGGAAAAAUUUCCAUUUUACCCCUAACAUUUAAAAUUUUUACAAUUUAGUCCCUAUUACACAAAACACAAAAUAUGCAAAGUUUCAAGGUACCCAUGCUUGGCCGAAUAUUCCUAGUGUUCAUAAAAGCCCAUAUAUUUUAUUUAUUUUACAUUUUAGUCCCUUAAAUUAUUAUUUUUACAAUUAAGUCCUAAUUGCUCAAAAUCAUCAAAAACUCCAAUACAAAAUAUGUUAAUCUAAAACAUAUCUUUAAUUUUUCAUCAUCAAACAACAAAAAUCACAAGCUAUCAACAAUGACAUAACUCAAAAUAUUCAGUAAAAUAAAAAAUUUAAGCUUGGGUUUUGAAGAUUACUAAGCAACGAUCUAAAAAGCGUAGAAAUUAUCAAAAACCGAACAAAAAUCUAACCUUGCUUAUGCUUUAAAAGUGCCGAACCCUAGCCUUUGUUUUUUUCUUUUUCUUUGUCUUAGUUUCGGUGUAUGAACAAGGAGAAAUGAUAUGAAAU
RNAcentral lists this long non-coding RNA (1781 nucleotides) under Gossypium barbadense (sea-island cotton). RNAcentral's name for it is "long non-coding RNA (GBAR_LNC009281)". The record is from RNAcentral. Lineage: Eukaryota; Viridiplantae; Streptophyta; Magnoliopsida; Malvales; Malvaceae.